GCCAGCCCGCUCAGAAACUCAAAGGAAUUGACGGGGGCCCGCACAAGCGGUGGAGCAUGUGGUUAAUUCGAAGCAACGCGAAGAACCUUACCAGGCCUUGACAUGCAGAGAACUUUCCAGAGAUGGAUUGGUGUCUUCGGGAACUCUGACACAGGUGCUGCAUGGCUGUCGUCAGCUCGUGUCGUGAGAUGUUGGGUUAAGUCCCGUAACGAGCGCAACCCUUGUCCUUAGUUACCAGCACGUUAUGGUGGGCACUCCAAGGAGACUGCCGGUGUUAAACCGGAGGAAGGUGGGGAUGACGUCAAGUCCUCAUGGCCUUUAUGACCAGGGCUACACACGUACUACAAUGGCCGAUACAAAGGGCAGCGACACUGCGAGGUGAAGCCAAUCCCGUAAAAUCGGUCUCAGUCCGGAUUGGAGUCUGCAACUCGACUCCAUGAAGUUGGAAUCGCUAGUAAUCGUGGAUCAGCAUGCCACGGUGAAUACGUUCCCGGGCCUU
Molecule: ribosomal RNA, 499 nt
Filed under: uncultured Bacillus sp.
Lineage: Bacteria; Bacillati; Bacillota; Bacilli; Caryophanales; Bacillaceae
Description: bacterial SSU rRNA
Rfam family: Bacterial small subunit ribosomal RNA
Source: RNAcentral